UUCAAGAUUCUAAGAGCAAACGGUGGAUGCCUUGGCAUCUGGAGCCGAAGAAGGACGUAUAAAUCUGCGAUAAGCCUCGGGGAGCUGAUAAUAGAGCUUUGAUCCGAGGAUCUCCGAAUGGGGAAACCCCGCCAGGCCCUUUGGGUGACCUGGUGACUCCCGCCUGAAUAUAUAGGGCGGGUAGAGGGAACGUGGGGAAGUGAAACAUCUCAGUACCCACAGGAAGAGAAAGCAAAAGCGAUUCCGUUAGUAGUGGCGAGCGAAACCGGAAGAGGCCAAACCGAUCAUGUGUGAUAUCCGGUAGGAGUUGCAUGGUCGGGGUUGCGGGACUUUCCGUACAGUUCUACCGAGCUGUGAGGGCAAUGAGCGCGAUAUAGACGAAUGGUCUUGAAAGGCCAGUCAUAGAGGGUGCGAACCCCGUAGUCGAAAUGUCGUCGCCUGUCCGGAGAGUAUCCCAAGUAGCACGGGGCCCGAGAAAUCCCGUGUGAAUCUGUCAGGACCACCUGAUAAGCCUAAAUACUCCCAGAUGACCGAUAGCGGACAAGUACCGUGAGGGAAAGGUGAAAAGUACCCCGGGAGGGGAGUGAAAUAGUACCUGAAACCGUUUGCUUACAAACCGUUGGAGCACCCUUGUUGGUGUGACAGCGUGCCUUUUGAAGAAUGAGCCUGCGAGUUAGUGAUAUGUGGCGAGGUUAACCCGUGAGGGGCAGCCGUAGCGAAAGCGAGUCUUAAUAGGGCGUAUGAGUCGCAUGUUCUAGACCCGAAGCGAAGUGAUCUAUCCAUGGCCAGGUUGAAGCGACGGUAAGACGUCGUGGAGGACCGAACCCACUUCAGUUGAAAAUGGAGGGGAUGAGCUGUGGAUAGGGGUGAAAGGCCAAUCAAACUUCGUGAUAGCUGGUUCUCUCCGAAAUGCAUUUAGGUGCAGCGUUGCGUGUUUCUUGCCGGAGGUAGAGCUACUGGAUGGACGAUGGGCCCCAAAAGGUUACUGACUUCAGCCAAACUCCGAAUGCCGGUAAGUGAGAGCGCAGCAGUGAGACGGUGGGGGAUAAGCUUCAUCGUCGAGAGGGAAACAACCCAGACCACCAUCUAAGGUCCCUAAGCGCGUGCUAAGUGGGAAAGGAUGUGGAGUUGCAUAGACAACCAGGAGGUUGGCUUAGAAGCAGCCACCCUUGAAAGAGUGCGUAAUAGCUCACUGGUCAAGUGAUUCCGCGCCGACAAUGUAACGGGGCUCAAGCACGCCACCGAAGUUGUGGCAUUUAUAUUAUAGGCAGGCCUUCGUGGUCCAGCCGUAUGGAUGGGUAGGAGAGCGUCGUGUGGCCAGCGAAGCGGCGGUGUGAACCAGCCGUGGAGGCCACACGAGUGAGAAUGCAGGCAUGAGUAGCGAAAGACGGGUGAGAAACCCGUCCUCCGAAAGACCAAGGGUUCCAGGGCCAGGCUAAUCCGCCCUGGGUAAGUCGGGACCUAAGGCGAGGCCGACAGGCGUAGUCGAUGGACAACGGGUUGAUAUUCCCGUACCGAUGAAGAACCGCCCAAGACAAUCCAGUAAUGCUAAGUGUCUGAAUCCUUGAUUCGAUCCCUUCGGGGUGACGGUCUUGGCCUAGCACACGACCCUACGCUGGGGCGUUUAGCGUAUUAACAGGUGUGACGCAGGAAGGUAGCUGAGCCGGGCGAUGGUUGUCCCGGUCUAAGGAUGUAGGGCAGAAGAUAGGCAAAUCCGUCUUCUAUGUAGCCUGAGACCCGAUGGGUAGUCCUUACGGACGAAAUCAGUGAUCCUAUGCUGCCGAGAAAAGCAUCGACGCGAGGUUCCAAUCGCCCGUACCCCAAACCGACUCAGGUGGUCAGGUAGAGAAUACUAAGGAGAUCGAGAGAAUCGUGGUUAAGGAACUCGGCAAAAUGCCCCCGUAACUUCGGGAGAAGGGGGGCCUGAGGCGUGUAGGGAUUUACUCCUGAAGCGUUUGAAGGCCGCAGAGACCAGUGGGAAGCGACUGUUUACUAAAAACACAGGUCCGUGCUAAGUCGCAAGACGAUGUAUACGGACUGACGCCUGCCCGGUGCUGGAAGGUUAAGAGGAACGGUUAGCACGCAAGUGCGAAGCUGAGAAUUUAAGCCCCAGUAAACGGCGGUGGUAACUAUAACCAUCCUAAGGUAGCGAAAUUCCUUGUCGGGUAAGUUCCGACCUGCACGAAUGGCGUAACGACUUCCCAGCUGUCUCAACCGCGAACUCGGCGAAAUUGCACUACGAGUAAAGAUGCUCGUUACGCGCAGCAGGACGGAAAGACCCCGUGACCUUUACUACAGCUUGGUAUUGGUGUUCGGUGUGGCUUGUGUAGGAUAGGUGGGAGACUGUGAAGCUCGGACGCUAGUUCGGGUGGAGUCAUUGUUGAAAUACCACUCUGGUCACUCUGGAUAUCUAACUUCGAACCGUAAUCCGGUUCAGGGACAGUGCCUGGUGGGUAGUUUAACUGGGGCGGUUGCCUCCUAAAGAGUAACGGAGGCGCCCAAAGGUUCCCUCAACCUGGUUGGUAAUCAGGUGUCGAGUGUAAGUGCACAAGGGAGCUUGACUGUGAGACUGACAAGUCGAGCAGGGACGAAAGUCGGGACUAGUGAUCCGGCAGUGGCUUGUGGAAGCGCUGUCGCUCAACGGAUAAAAGGUACCUCGGGGAUAACAGGCUGAUCUUGCCCAAGAGUCCAUAUCGACGGCAUGGUUUGGCACCUCGAUGUCGGCUCGUCGCAUCCUGGGGCUGGAGUAGGUCCCAAGGGUUGGGCUGUUCGCCCAUUAAAGCGGUACGCGAGCUGGGUUUAGAACGUCGUGAGACAGUUCGGUCCCUAUCCGCUGCGCGCGUAGGAAAUUUGAGAAGAUCUAUCCCUAGUACGAGAGGACCGGGAUGGACGAACCUCUGGUGUGUCAGUUGUUCCGCCAGGAGCACCGCUGAUUAGCUACGUUCGGAACGGAUAACCGCUGAAAGCAUCUAAGCGGGAAGCCGGCUUCGAGAUGAGAUUUCCAUCCCUUUUAGGGUGAAGGCUCCCGGCUAGACUACCGGGUUGAUAGGCAGGAUGUGGAAGCGAGGACUAAAGACUCGUGGAGCUGACCUGUACUAAUAAGCCGAUAUCUUGAAAACA
This 3120-nucleotide ribosomal RNA is filed under the name Clavibacter michiganensis subsp. michiganensis. Its description in RNAcentral is "23S ribosomal RNA". It matches the Rfam family "Bacterial large subunit ribosomal RNA". The record is from RNAcentral. Lineage: Bacteria; Bacillati; Actinomycetota; Actinomycetes; Micrococcales; Microbacteriaceae.